GACGAACGCUGGCGGCGUGCUUAACACAUGCAAGUCGAACGGAAAGACCCUGCUUUUGUGGGGUGCUCGAGUGGCGAACGGGUGAGUAACACGUGAGUAACCUGCCCUUGACCUUGGGAUAACUUCAGGAAACUGGGGCUAAUACCGGAUAGGAGCUCCUGCUGCAUGGUGGGGGUUGGAAAGUUUCGGCGGUUGGGGAUGGACUCGCGGCUUAUCAGCUUGUUGGUGGGGUAGUGGCUUACCAAGGCUUUGACGGGUAGCCGGCCUGAGAGGGUGACCGGCCACAUUGGGACUGAGAUACGGCCCAGACGCCUACGGGAGGCAGCAGUGGGGAAUAUUGCACAAUGGGCGGAAGCCUGAUGCAGCAACGCCGCGUGCGGGAUGACGGCCUUCGGGUUGUAAACCGCUUUCGCCUGUGACGAAGCGUGAGUGACGGUAAUGGGUAAAGAAGCACCGGCUAACUACGUG
This 468-nucleotide ribosomal RNA is filed under the name uncultured bacterium. Its description in RNAcentral is "partial 16S ribosomal RNA". It matches the Rfam family "Bacterial small subunit ribosomal RNA", at positions 28 to 507 of the family's 1533-position model. The record is from RNAcentral.